UGGGGAAUCUUGCGCAAUGGGCGAAAGCCUGACGCAGCCAUGCCGCGUGAAUGAUGAAGGUCUUAGGAUUGUAAAAUUCUUUCAGCGGGGACGAUAAUGACGGUACCCGCAGAAGAAGCCCCGGCUAACUUCGUGCCAGCAGCCGCGGUAAUACGAAGGGGGCUAGCGUUGCUCGGAUUUACUGGGCGUAAAGGGCGCGUAGGCGGAUUGACAAGUUGGGGGUGAAAGCCCGGGGCUCAACCUCGGAAUUGCCUUCAAAACUGUCAGUCUUGAGUUCGGGAGAGGUGAGUGGAACUCCGAGUGUAGAGGUGAAAUUCGUAGAUAUUCGGAAGAACACCAGUGGCGAAGGCGACUCACUGGCCCGAUACUGACGCUGAGGCGCGAAAGCGUGGGGAGCAAACAGGAUUAGAUACCCUGGUAGUCCACGCUGUAAACGAUGAGUGCUAGUUGUCGGCAGGCAUGCCUGUCGGUGACGCAGCUAACGCAUUAAGCACUCCGCCUGGGGAGUACGUCGC
Molecule: ribosomal RNA, 515 nt
Filed under: uncultured bacterium
Lineage: Bacteria
Description: partial 16S ribosomal RNA
Rfam family: Bacterial small subunit ribosomal RNA
Source: RNAcentral